AUUGAACGCUGGCGGCAGGCCUAACACAUGCAAGUCGGACGGUAGCACAGAGGAGCUUGCUCCUCGGGUGACGAGUGGCGGACGGGUGAGUAAUGUCUGGGGAUCUGCCCGAUAGAGGGGGAUAACCACUGGAAACGGUGGCUAAUACCGCAUAACGUCGCAAGACCAAAGAGGGGGACCUUCGGGCCUCUCACUAUCGGAUGAACCCAGAUGGGAUUAGCUAGUAGGCGGGGUAAUGGCCCACCUAGGCGACGAUCCCUAGCUGGUCUGAGAGGAUGACCAGCCACACUGGAACUGAGACACGGUCCAGACUCCUACGGGAGGCAGCAGUGGGGAAUAUUGCACAAUGGGCGCAAGCCUGAUGCAGCCAUGCCGCGUGUAUGAAGGAGGCCUUCGGGUUGUAAAGUACUUUCAGCGGGGAGGAAGGCGGUGAGGUUAAUAACCUCGCCGAUUGACGUUACCCGCAGAAGAAGCACCGGCUAACUCCGUGCCAGCAGCCGCCGUAA
RNAcentral lists this ribosomal RNA (506 nucleotides) under uncultured bacterium. RNAcentral's name for it is "partial 16S ribosomal RNA". It matches the Rfam family "Bacterial small subunit ribosomal RNA", at positions 29 to 523 of the family's 1533-position model. The record is from RNAcentral.